This 460-nucleotide ribosomal RNA is filed under the name uncultured bacterium. Its description in RNAcentral is "partial 16S ribosomal RNA". It matches the Rfam family "Bacterial small subunit ribosomal RNA", at positions 338 to 795 of the family's 1533-position model. The record is from RNAcentral.
CCUACGGGAGGCAGCAGUGAGGAAUAUUGGUCAAUGGACGAGAGUCUGAACCAGCCAAGUCGCGUGAAGGAUGACUGCCCUAUGGGUUGUAAACUUCUUUUAUAAAGGAAUAAAACGCGGCACGUGUGCCUUUUUGCGUGUACUUUAUGAAUAAGGAUCGGCUAACUCCGUGCCAGCAGCCGCGGUAAUACGGAGGAUUCGAGCGUUAUCCGGAUUUAUUGGGUUUAAAGGGUGCGUAGAUGGGUUGUUAAGUCAGUUGGUAAAGUUUGGGGCUCAACCGUAAAAUUGCAAUUGAUACUGGCAGUCUUGAGUACAGGUGAGGUAGGCGGAAUGCGUGGUGUAGCGGUGAAAUGCUUAGAUAUCACGAAGAACCCCGAUUGCGAAGGCAGCUUGCUAACCUGUGACUGACAUUGAGGCUCGAAAGUGUGGGUAUCAAACAGGAUUAGAUACCCGUGUAGUC